AGACCCGAAACCCGGUGAUCUAGCCAUGGGCAGGUUGAAGGUUGGGUAACACUAACUGGAGGACCGAACCGACUAAUGUUGAAAAAUUAGCGGAUGACCUGUGGCUGGGGGUGAAAGGCCAAUCAAACCGGGAGAUAGCUGGUUCUCCCCGAAAGCUAUUUAGGUAGCGCCUCGUGAAUUCAUCUCCGGGGGUAGAGCACUGUUUCGGCUAGGGGGCCAUCCCGGCUUACCAACCCGAUGCAAACUGCGAAUACCGGAGAAUGUUAUCACGGGAGACACACGGCGGGUGCUAACGUCCGUCGUGAAGAGGGAAACAACCCAGACCGCCAGCUAAGGUCCCAAAGUCAUGGUUAAGUGGGAAACGAUGUGGGAAGGCCCAGACAGCCAGGAUGUUGGCUUAGAAGCAGCCAUCAUUUAAAGAAAGCGUAAUAGCUCACUGGUCGAGUCGGCCUGCGCGGAAGAUGUAACGGGGCUAAACCAUGCACCGAAGCUGCGGCAGCGAACGUAUCACCCAAGACAACUUUACGGAGUUGACGAUUGACGGAGCGAAGCGACGUCAAAGCGUUCAUUAAAGUCGAGUUGGCUUAGGGAUACGUUCGUUGGGUAGGGGAGCGUUCUGUAAGCCUGUGAAGGUGUGUCGUGAGGCAUGCUGGAGGUAUCAGAAGUGCGAAUGCUGACAUAAGUAACGAUAAAGCGGGUGAAAAGCCCGCUCGCCGGAAGACCAAGGGUUCCUGUCCAACGUUAAUCGGGGCAGGGUGAGUCGACCCCUAAGGCGAGGCCGAAAGGCGUAGUCGAUGGGAAACGGGUUAAUAUUCCCGUACUUGGUGUUACUGCGAAGGGGGGACGGAGAAGGCUAUGUUGGCCGGGCGACGGUUGUCCCGGUUUAAGCGUGUAGGUGUGUGUUCCAGGUAAAUCCGGUUCACUUUAACACUGAGGCGUGACGACGAGGCACUACGGUGCUGAAGCAACAAAUGCCCUGCUUCCAGGAAAAGCCUCUAAGCAUCAGGUAACACGAAAUCGUACCCCAAACCGACACAGGUGGUCAGGUAGAGAAUACCAAGGCGCUUGAGAGAACUCGGGUGAAGGAACUAGGCAAAAUGGUGCCGUAACUUCGGGAGAAGGCACGCUGACACGUAGGUGAAGUGAUUUACUCAUGGAGCUGAAGUCAGUCGAAGAUACCAGCUGGCUGCAACUGUUUAUUAAAAACACAGCACUGUGCAAACACGAAAGUGGACGUAUACGGUGUGACGCCUGCCCGGUGCCGGAAGGUUAAUUGAUGGGGUCAGCGUAAGCGAAGCUCCUGAUCGAAGCCCCGGUAAACGGCGGCCGUAACUAUAACGGUCCUAAGGUAGCGAAAUUCCUUGUCGGGUAAGUUCCGACCUGCACGAAUGGCGUAAUGAUGGCCAGGCUGUCUCCACCCGAGACUCAGUGAAAUUGAACUCGCUGUGAAGAUGCAGUGUACCCGCGGCAAGACGGAAAGACCCCGUGAACCUUUACUAUAGCUUGACACUGAACAUUGAGCCUUGAUGUGUAGGAUAGGUGGGAGGCUUUGAAGUGUGGACGCCAGUCUGCAUGGAGCCGACCUUGAAAUACCACCCUUUAAUGUUUGAUGUUCUAACGUGGACCCGUAAUCCGGGUUGCGGACAGUGUCUGGUGGGUAGUUUGACUGGGGCGGUCUCCUCCUAAAGAGUAACGGAGGAGCACGAAGGUUGGCUAAUCCUGGUCGGACAUCAGGAGGUUAGUGCAAUGGCAUAAGCCAGCUUGACUGCGAGCGUGACGGCGCGAGCAGGUGCGAAAGCAGGUCAUAGUGAUCCGGUGGUUCUGAAUGGAAGGGCCAUCGCUCAACGGAUAAAAGGUACUCCGGGGAUAACAGGCUGAUACCGCCCAAGAGUUCAUAUCGACGGCGGUGUUUGGCACCUCGAUGUCGGCUCAUCACAUCCUGGGGCUGAAGUAGGUCCCAAGGGUAUGGCUGUUCGCCAUUUAAAGUGGUACGCGAGCUGGGUUUAGAACGUCGUGAGACAGUUCGGUCCCUAUCUGCCGUGGGCGCUGGAGAACUGAGGGGGGCUGCUCCUAGUACGAGAGGACCGGAGUGGACGCAUCACUGGUGUUCGGGUUGUCAUGCCAAUGGCACUGCCCGGUAGCUAAAUGCGGAAGAGAUAAGUGCUGAAAGCAUCUAAGCACGAAACUUGCCCCGAGAUGAGUUCUCCCUGAGACUUAGAGUCUCCUG
Molecule: ribosomal RNA, 2227 nt
Filed under: Salmonella enterica
Lineage: Bacteria; Pseudomonadati; Pseudomonadota; Gammaproteobacteria; Enterobacterales; Enterobacteriaceae
Also listed under: 1 other name
Description: partial 23S ribosomal RNA
Rfam family: Bacterial large subunit ribosomal RNA
Source: RNAcentral